UCUCCGUUGGUGAACCAGCGGAGGGAUCAUUACUGGAAUCGCAAGAUCCCACCACCCUGUGAACCUACCGAAACGUUGCCUCGGCGGGUGCCCGGCCCCCGCGCCGGGCGCUGCGCCCGCCGGCGGCCCCCUACUCUGUCUCUGCAGCGUGGCAUCUCAGCGUCCCAGAAAACAAGUCAAAACUUUCAACAACGGAUCUCUUGGCUCUA
This 209-nucleotide unclassified non-coding RNA is filed under the name plant metagenome. RNAcentral's name for it is "partial contains small subunit ribosomal RNA, internal transcribed spacer 1, and 5.8S ribosomal RNA". The record is from RNAcentral.